Molecule: long non-coding RNA, 573 nt
Filed under: Carica papaya (papaya)
Lineage: Eukaryota; Viridiplantae; Streptophyta; Magnoliopsida; Brassicales; Caricaceae
Description: long non-coding RNA (CPAP_LNC006622)
Source: RNAcentral
AAAUAAAUUAGAAUUAAAAUUUCACGAUAAUGGAAAGGACCAAUCAAAUAAGAGAUGGUGCAUGUGAGAUUGAAACAUGGGGAAAACAAUUAGGAAAUGGGAGAGGGAUGGCCAUAUGGCCACCAUGCACAUGGAUGGGAAGAUUCCCUCCCACUCCUAAGUUGCCACAUCAUCUAAUUAAGCCACCUCAUCCUCCUUAUUUCUUCCCCCAUCAUAUUAAUACCGAAUAAAACAUUUUUUCUCUCUUUCAAUCCACCAAAUAAAAGGAAAAAAAAAGAGAAGAAAAGAAGAAUAGGGAGGAGAGGGAGAGAAGAGAGGGGAAGAAAAGAGAGAGAGAGCAUUGAGACGAUUGGCACAGCAAAGGGAAGAAAAAAAAUUUGAGAGGGGACAGCGCAGGUGGCCUAACCACCAUGUGACCACCACUCUCACGUAAGUUCUUCUUCCGAACGUCCAAAUAUAAGUUCUUUUUCUUCUUCUUUCGUGAUUCUCUUCCUAAAUAGUUUAGAGUGGCAUGCAUGAUAUUUUAAAUAAAUACAUUUAGGUUUACUUCAUUUUAAAUGAAAAAUUUUAACU